GACGAACGCUGGCGGCGUGCUUAACACAUGCAAGUCGAACGGAAAGGCCCUGCUUUUGUGGGGUGCUCGAGUGGCGAACGGGUGAGUAACACGUGAGUAACCUGCCCUUGACUUUGGGAUAACUUCAGGAAACUGGGGCUAAUACCGGAUAGGAGCUCCUGCUGCAUGGUGGGGGUUGGAAAGUUUCGGCGGUUGGGGAUGGACUCGCGGCUUAUCAGCUUGUUGGUGGGGUAGUGGCUUACCAAGGCUUUGACGGGUAGCCGGCCUGAGAGGGUGACCGGCCACGUUAGGACUGAGAUACGGCCCAGACUCCUACGGGAGGCAGCAGUGGGGAAUAUUGCACAAUGGGCGGAAGCCUGAUGCAGCAACGCCGCGUGCGGGAUGACGGCCUUCGGGUUGUAAACCGCUUUCGCCUGUGACGAAGCGUGAGUGACGGUAAUGGGUGAAGAAGCACCGGCUAACUACGUG
Molecule: ribosomal RNA, 468 nt
Filed under: uncultured bacterium
Lineage: Bacteria
Description: partial 16S ribosomal RNA
Rfam family: Bacterial small subunit ribosomal RNA
Source: RNAcentral